The submitters of this non-coding RNA (52 nucleotides) gave its source as unclassified sequences. The record is from Rfam.
UCUUUAAUGCGACCAACGUCAGUGACAAGUCUGAUAAAUGCAGAGUCAAAGA